RNAcentral lists this long non-coding RNA (367 nucleotides) under Salmo salar (Atlantic salmon). RNAcentral describes it as "lncRNA (ENSSSAG00000088073.1)". The record is from RNAcentral. Lineage: Eukaryota; Metazoa; Chordata; Actinopteri; Salmoniformes; Salmonidae.
AGUGUAGAGGCAUCACAGUAUUACAGUGUAGAGGCAUCACAGUAUUACAGUGUAGAGGCAUCACAGUACUACAGUGUAGAGGCAUUACAGUAUUACAGUGUAGAGGCAUCACAGUACUACAGUGUAGAGGCAUCACAGUACUACAGUGUAGAGGCAUCACAGUAUUACAGUGUAGAGGCAUUACAGUACUACAGUGUAGAGGCAUCACAGUAUUACAGUGUAGAGGCAUCACAGUAUUACAGUGUAGAGGCAUCACAGUAUUACAGUGUAGAGGCAUCACAGUACUACAGUGUAGAGGCAUCACAGUACUACAGUGUAGAGGCAUCACAGUACUACAGUGUAGAGGCAUUACAGUAUUACAGUGUAG